GAUCAUGUCAGACAACUUUAUUACAGGAUCAAAUCAGGGGGGGGACCAAUUGUAUAUACUACUAUUUCUACCUCAGCUAUCAGUUCCAUUCAUCCGGUCAUUUUUUACUUCUAUACCUCAACUAUAUCAUUUCUACCUCAACUAAGAAUUUGAAUCCUCUUAUGUGAGGUGUCCUUGCAUACUCAUCAGAUGACUGGGUAAUGCAAUGUCCUCACAUUAGAGGACCGAAAAUACUGUUGUUGGAUAUGCAUGCUGCUUAUGUAUUUGAAUUUUAAAAAUAUCAUGUAUUAUUUUUUAUUAGCGAUACGAAGUACUAAUUGUGGUGUUAAAC
RNAcentral lists this long non-coding RNA (331 nucleotides) under Phaseolus vulgaris (common bean). Its description in RNAcentral is "long non-coding RNA (PVUL_LNC002150)". Lineage: Eukaryota; Viridiplantae; Streptophyta; Magnoliopsida; Fabales; Fabaceae. The record is from RNAcentral.